UUAGCGGCGGACGGGUGAGUAACACGUGGAUAACCUACCUAUAAGACUGGGAUAACUUCGGGAAACCGGAGCUAAUACCGGAUAACAUGUUGAACCGCAUGGUUCAACAGUGAAAGACGGUUUUGCUGUCACUUAUAGAUGGAUCCGCGCCGCAUUAGCUAGUUGGUAAGGUAACGGCUUACCAAGGCAACGAUGCGUAGCCGACCUGAGAGGGUGAUCGGCCACACUGGAACUGAGACACGG
RNAcentral lists this ribosomal RNA (243 nucleotides) under Staphylococcus capitis. Its description in RNAcentral is "partial 16S ribosomal RNA". It matches the Rfam family "Bacterial small subunit ribosomal RNA", at positions 92 to 329 of the family's 1533-position model. The record is from RNAcentral. Lineage: Bacteria; Bacillati; Bacillota; Bacilli; Caryophanales; Staphylococcaceae.